CCUACGGGAGGCAGCAGUGGGGAAUAUUGCACAAUGGGGGAAACCCUGAUGCAGCAACGCCGCGUGAGUGAAGAAGUAUUUCGGUAUGUAAAGCUCUAUCAGCAGGGAAGAAAAUGACAGUACCUGACUAAGAAGCCCCGGCUAACUACGUGCCAGCAGCCGCGGGAAUACGUAGGGGGCAAGCGGUAUCCGGAUUUACUGGGUGUAAAGGUAGCGUAGACGGCUGCGCAAGUCAGAAGUGAAAGCCCGGGGCUCAACCGCGGGACUGCUUUUGAAACUGUGUAGCUAGAGUGCAGGAGAGGUAAGUGGAAUUCCUAGUGUAGCGGUGAAAUGCGUAGAGAUUAGGAGGAACACCGGUGGCGAAGGCGGCUUACUGGACUGUAACUGACGUUGAGGCUCGAAAGCGUGGGGAGCAAACAGGAUUAGAUACCCUUGUAGUC
This 440-nucleotide ribosomal RNA is filed under the name uncultured bacterium. Its description in RNAcentral is "partial 16S ribosomal RNA". It matches the Rfam family "Bacterial small subunit ribosomal RNA", at positions 338 to 795 of the family's 1533-position model. The record is from RNAcentral.